RNAcentral lists this ribosomal RNA (902 nucleotides) under uncultured archaeon. RNAcentral describes it as "bacterial SSU rRNA". It matches the Rfam family "Archaeal small subunit ribosomal RNA", at positions 21 to 903 of the family's 1478-position model. The record is from RNAcentral.
CCCCACCGCUAUCGGGGUGGGACUAAGCCAUGCGAGUUGUGCGUCCCCGGGCUAUGGCGGGCAUGGCGCACGGCUGAGUAAUACGUGAUCAACCUACCCUUAAGUCGGGGAUAAUCCCGGGAAACUGGGGCUAAUCUCCGAUAGGUGAGAAAUCCUGGAAUUGGGUUUUCACCGAAAGAACUAUCGAACGUCUCGAUAGUUCGCUUAAGGAUGGGAUCACGACCCAUCAGGUUGUUGGUGGAGUAACGGUCCACCAAGCCCAUAACGGGUAGGGGCCCUGUGAGGGGGAGCCCCCAGAUGGACCCUGAGACAAGGGUCCAGGCCCUACGGGGUGCAGCAGGCGCGAAAACUCCGCAAUGCGCGAAAGCGUGACGGGGUUAUCCUGAGUGCUUCCCGCCAAGGGAAGCUUUUGCCCAGUGUAAGAAGCUGGGCGAAUAAGCGGAGGGCAAGUCUGGUGUCAGCCGCCGCGGUAAUACCAGCUCCGCAAGUGAUGGGGAUCUUUACUGGGCUUAAAGCGUCCGUAGCUGGUCUGAUAAGUCCCUGGUUAAAUCCGGCGACUUAAUCGUCGGGCUGCCGGGGAUACUAUCAGACUAGGGGGCGGGAGAGGCCAGGGGUAUUCCUGGGGUAGGGGUGAAAUCCUAUAAUCCUAGGAGGACCACCGGUGGCGAAGGCGCCUGGCUAGAACGCGCCCGACAGUGAGGGACGAAAGCUGGGGGAGCGAACCGGAUUAGAUACCCGGGUAGUCCCAGCCGUAAACGAUGCACCCUAGAUGCUUGUAUGGCUUAGAGCCAUACAAGUGUCCCAGGGAAACCGUUAAGGGUGCCGCCUGGGGAGUACGCCCGCAAGGGUGAAACUUAAAGGAAUUGGCGGGGGAGCACCACAAGGGGUGAAGCCUGCGGUUA